RNA transcript from Gadus macrocephalus (Pacific cod), 1836 nucleotides. It is a transcript of the gene named SH2 domain-containing protein 6, with no coding region annotated. The transcript has 16 exons. The record is from RefSeq and is a predicted model, not a curated record. NCBI's taxonomy places the organism in Eukaryota, Metazoa, Chordata, Actinopteri, Gadiformes, Gadidae.
AGGAUACUUUUCUCUGAGUCGAACGAUGGCUGGGAGAAGAUCAUGAAUUGUGCGUUAUGUCGGUCCGUUGCAACCAAUUUCCGGUUUCUUACUUCGUGUGAGCUGUGUACUCCAGUAAAAAGUUCCCGAGCGUGAAGACAAAGAACAUGAAAAGAAGAACAAAAACUAAAACAACAAUAAAAAGUAGAAUACAUCUAGAAUUUUCGACAAAUAAAAGAAAUAUUCGAAGCAUGUGUAACGGAAAAUAGUAUCCCCUGGAAAGUCCCGCCCUCUAUCGCGCCUCGAAACCCCGCACAAUGUAACUGAAAGUCCCGUCCUCUCUCGGAAACAACUCAUUUGCAGUUAUUUAUAGUUGUAUAUGCAAACUAACAAGAUAGCCAGCGAAUAGCAGAUCGCGGAAAACAGUCUGAGCUGUUUCCACCUCCCUACCUAGUACCUAUCUCUCCACAUUAAACCUAACUUUGUUUUAAUUCGAUGACUACUCACUGCAAUACAACAACAUCUGGAAAUUGUUCAUAACUUAAGCCACAAAGAGGACCUUAAUCACAACGAUGACCUUCUUCAAACCUUUUAAAAACCAGUAAGUACCAUAUUAUAAAUUAGUGUGACAUAGCUUUUCCACAAUGAUCAUCGUUUUUUAAUUACUGAAAUGACAAAGCCAUGCCUAAUUAAGUCUUAGCCAUCUUUUUAUUCCCAGACCUUGGAUGGAUAGAAAGAUGUCCGGACUAAAGCGUUGAAACAUGACUUAGUAGUUGUAAUGGUUGAGGGUUUAACAUCAUGACUUCAUGUUUAAAUGUUUGACUUUCACUUUCCCUCUUCCUCACCCAAGUCCCAAUCCCCCAGCUCCUCCCCCGGCCCCUCCCAGAUGGAUUGGUGCUGAUACGAAUGGACGGAGUAGCUGGCCAGAAGAUGAUUUUGACAAUGGAGACGUGUACGAACCCCCCCCCUACGAGCGGCCUGCCAUCAAAGUCGAGACACAACCAACCAAUCUGGAUUUAAUUUACCUGGACCACUCGUCCGAUCAGCCGGCCCCACAGAGGCCCGCCGCUCCACCCCCAAGACCACCCGUCCAGCCUCAGAGACGAGGUGCUCAACCGCAGAGACCUCCAAGACAAUGUGAUCCACAAAGACCGAUUCCUCCUGCAAUGGCACCAGCUGGCCCACCACCCAGGCCAAUCAAACUGACACCGUCGGGCAAAGUUUUGCCGCCACGACGGGAAGCCGAGGUGUUUCACGAUCCCAGCAUCUCCAAUCCUCCUGAGGUGGACAGACAGGAGAAGCCGGGGAAGAGUAGGCCUAGUGCCCUAAACAAGUUCCCCCCCCCUCCUUUCGCAAGGCCCCCUCUCCCAGGCCCGGCCCCAGACACAGAGGAAGAUGUGUACGUAGAUCCAAAUGAAGAACAGGGAGACAGUGAUGGCGUGUAUCUCAAGCCAACACCAGCUUUGCCUUUGCCCUCUCCUGCACCAAUGAGAUUGCCUCCUACUAUGGUGGCACCUCCUGGUGGCCUGAUGAAGCCUCCUGUGCCGAGGACCACGAAUAAUUCUCUGACAACAUCCGUCACUGAGAUGAAACCAGCUCCUGAUGGCAAGCGGCCCAUGCUGGCCCUACCACCCCAGAAGGACUCCAAACCUCGAAUUCCUUCUCCCCCAACGGUGGACCAAAUCCCAGGAGUUGGAUACAUUACAGGACAAUGAGUGGUUCACUGCGGUUUCUACGAGAAAGUAUGCUGAGGACCUCCUCCUGAGAAUAAAUAAGGACGGCGCCUUCCUCAUACGCCCCAGCUCGUCCCAGGACCCCCGGCAACCGUACACCCUGGCCGUGCUCUACAGGGAGAAG